Molecule: ribosomal RNA, 1332 nt
Filed under: metagenome
Description: bacterial LSU rRNA
Rfam family: Bacterial large subunit ribosomal RNA
Source: RNAcentral
UGUAGCGAAGUUCCUGAUGUCACACUGCCAAGAAAAGCUUCUAGUGAGAAAGUAACUGCCCGUACCGCAAACCGACACAGGUAGUUGAGGAGAGAAUCCUAAGGUGCGCGAGAGAACUCUCGUUAAGGAACUCGGCAAAAUGAUCCCGUAACUUCGGGAGAAGGGGUGCUGACCGCAAGGUCAGCCGCAGUGAAUAGGCCCAAGCGACUGUUUAUCAAAAACACAGGUCUCUGCAAAAUCGAAAGAUGACGUAUAGGGGCUGACGCCUGCCCGGUGCUGGAAGGUUAAGAGGAGAGGUUAGCGCAAGCGAAGCUUUGAAUUGAAGCCCCAGUAAACGGCGGCCGUAACUAUAACGGUCCUAAGGUAGCGAAAUUCCUUGUCGGGUAAGUUCCGACCCGCACGAAAGGCGUAACGAUUUGGGCACUGUCUCAACGAGAGACUCGGUGAAAUUAUAGUACCAGUGAAGAUGCUGGUUACCCGCGACAGGACGGAAAGACCCCAUGGAGCUUUACUGCAGUUUGAUAUUGCGUGUUUGUAUCACAUGUACAGGAUAGGUAGGAGCCGAAGAUACCGGGACGCCAGUCUCGGAGGAGGCAACGGUGGGAUACUACCCUUGUGAUAUGACCACUCUAACCCGCUGCUCUUAGCGAGCAGGGAGACAGUGUCAGACGGGCAGUUUGACUGGGGCGGUCGCCUCCAAAAAUGCAACGGAGGCGCCCAAAGGUUCCCUCAGAAUGGUUGGAAAUCAUUCGUAGAGUGUAAAGGCAGAAGGGAGCUUGACUGCGAGACCUACAAGUCGAGCAGGGACGAAAGUCGGGCUUAGUGAUCCGGUGGUUCCGCAUGGAAGGGCCAUCGCUCAACGGAUAAAAGCUACCCUGGGGAUAACAGGCUUAUCUCCCCCAAGAGUUCACAUCGACGGGGAGGUUUGGCACCUCGAUGUCGGCUCAUCGCAUCCUGGGGCUGUAGUCGGUCCCAAGGGUUGGGCUGUUCGCCCAUUAAAGCGGUACGCGAGCUGGGUUCAGAACGUCGUGAGACAGUUCGGUCCCUAUCCGUCGCGGGCGUUGGAAAUUUGAGAGGAGCUGUCCUUAGUACGAGAGGACCGGGAUGGACACACCGCUGGUGUACCAGUUGUUCUGCCAAGAGCAUCGCUGGGUAGCUAUGUGUGGACGGGAUAAACGCUGAAAGCAUCUAAGCGUGAAGCCCCCCUCAAGAUGAGAUUUCCCAUCACUUUAAGUGAGUAAGACCCCUGAGAGAUGAUCAGGUAGAUAGGUUGGGAGUGGAAGUACAGCGAUGUAUGGAGCGGACCAAUACUAAUCGGUCGAGGACUUAAUC